AAGGGGGCGUAGGUGGCUUUGUAAGUCAGAAGUGAAAGCCCUGGGCUCAACCCGGGAAGUGCUUUUGAUACUGCGAAGCUUGAAUGUGGUAGAGGAUAGUAGAAUUCCAGGUGUAGUGGUGAAAUACGUAGAUAUCUGGAGGAAUACCAGUGGCGAAGGCGGCUAUCUGGACCAACAUUGACACUGAGGCCCGAAAGCGUGGGGAUCAAACAGGAUUAGAUACCCUGGUAGUCCACGCCGUAAACGAUGGAUACUUGUUGUUGGUGGUAUUGACCCCAUCAGUGACGAAGCAAACGCGUUAAGUAUCCCGCCUGGGGAGUACGGUCGCAAGAUUAAAACUCAAAGAAAUUGACGGGGGCCCGCACAAGCGGUGGAGCAUGUGGUUUAAUUCGAUGCAACGCGAAGAACCUUACCUGGGUUUGACAUCUACUGGAAGACUCUCAGAAAUGAGGUCGCCUUCGGGCCGGUAGACAGGUGCUGCAUGGCUGUCGUCAGCUCGUGUCGUGAGAUGUUGGGUUAAGUCCCGCAACGAGCGCAACCCUCGUGUUUAGUUGCCAGCAUUCAGUUGGGCACUCUAAACAGACUGCCGACGUUAAGUCGGAGGAAGGUGGGGAUGACGUCAAGUCCUCAUGGCCUUUAUAUCCAGGGCUACACACGUGCUACAAUGGUCGGUACAGAGGGAAGCCAAAUAGUAAUAUGGAGCCAAUCCCUUAAAGCCGAUCUAAGUUCAGAUUGAGGUCUGCAACUCGACCUCAUGAAGGUGGAAUCGCUAGUAAUCGC
RNAcentral lists this ribosomal RNA (780 nucleotides) under uncultured Pseudomonadota bacterium. RNAcentral describes it as "bacterial SSU rRNA". It matches the Rfam family "Bacterial small subunit ribosomal RNA", at positions 563 to 1345 of the family's 1533-position model. The record is from RNAcentral. Lineage: Bacteria; Pseudomonadati; Pseudomonadota.